AUACAUGCAAGUCGAGCGGACAGAUGGGAGCUUGCUCCCUGAUGUUAGCGGCGGACGGGUGAGUAACACGUGGGUAACCUGCCUGUAAGACUGGGAUAACUCCGGGAAACCGGGGCUAAUACCGGAUGGUUGUCUGAACCGCAUGGUUCAGACAUAAAAGGUGGCUUCGGCUACCACUUACAGAUGGACCCGCGGCGCAUUAGCUAGUUGGUGAGGUAACGGCUCACCAAGGCGACGAUGCGUAGCCGACCUGAGAGGGUGAUCGGCCACACUGACUAUAAGACACGGCCCAGACUCCUACGGGAGGCAGCAGUAGGGAAUCUUCCGCAAUGGACGAAAGUCUGACGGAGCAACGCCGCGUGAGUGAUGAAGGUUUUCGGAUCGUAAAGCUCUGUUGUUAGGGAAGAACAAGUGCCGUUCAAAUAGGGCGGCACCUUGACGGUACCUAACCAGAAAGCCACGGCUAACUACGUGCCAGCAGCCGCGGUAAUACGUAGGUGGCAAGCGUUGUCCGGAAUUAUUGGGAUUGAAGGGCUCGCAGGCGGUUUCUUAAGUCUGAUGUGAAAGCCCCCGGCUCAACCGGGGAGGGUCAUUGGAAACUGGGGAACUUGAGUGGAAAAGAGGAGAGUGGAAUUCCACGUGUAGCGGUGAAAUGCGUAGAGAUGUGGAGGAACACCAGUGGCGAAGGCGACUCUCUGGUCUGUAACUGACGCUGAGGAGCGAAAGCGUGGGGAGCGAACAGGAUUAGAUACCCUGGUAGUCCACGCCGUAAACGAUGAGUAAGUGUCUAUAGGGGGUUUCCGCCCCUUAGUGCUGCAGCUAACGCAUUAAGCACUCCGCCUGGGGAGUACGGUCGCAAGACUGAAACUCAAAGGAAUUGACGGGGGCCCGCACAAGCGGGGAGCAUGGUGGUUUAAUUCGAAGCCGC
Molecule: ribosomal RNA, 928 nt
Filed under: uncultured Bacillus sp.
Lineage: Bacteria; Bacillati; Bacillota; Bacilli; Caryophanales; Bacillaceae
Description: bacterial SSU rRNA
Rfam family: Bacterial small subunit ribosomal RNA
Source: RNAcentral